RNAcentral lists this ribosomal RNA (300 nucleotides) under Escherichia coli. RNAcentral's name for it is "partial 23S ribosomal RNA". It matches the Rfam family "Bacterial large subunit ribosomal RNA", at positions 2649 to 2925 of the family's 2925-position model. The record is from RNAcentral. Lineage: Bacteria; Pseudomonadati; Pseudomonadota; Gammaproteobacteria; Enterobacterales; Enterobacteriaceae.
GGGCGCUGGAGAACUGAGGGGGGCUGCUCCUAGUACGAGAGGACCGGAGUGGACGCAUCACUGGUGUUCGGGUUGUCAUGCCAAUGGCACUGCCCGGUAGCUAAAUGCGGAAGAGAUAAGUGCUGAAAGCAUCUAAGCACGAAACUUGCCCCGAGAUGAGUUCUCCCUGACUCCUUGAGAGUCCUGAAGGAACGUUGAAGACGACGACGUUGAUAGGCCGGGUGUGUAAGCGCAGCGAUGCGUUGAGCUAACCGGUACUAAUGAACCGUGAGGCUUAACCUUACAACGCCGAAGGUGUUU